RNAcentral lists this ribosomal RNA (253 nucleotides) under uncultured bacterium. Its description in RNAcentral is "partial 16S ribosomal RNA". It matches the Rfam family "Bacterial small subunit ribosomal RNA", at positions 524 to 776 of the family's 1533-position model. The record is from RNAcentral.
UACAGAGGUCUCAAGCGUUGUUCGGAUUCAUUGGGCGUAAAGGGUGUGUAGGUGGCGCCGUAAGUCGGGUGUGAAAUUUCGGAGCUUAACUCCGAAACUGCAUUCGAUACUGCGGUGCUUGAGGACUGGAGAGGAGACUGGAAUUCAUGGUGUAGCAGUGAAAUGCGUAGAGAUCAUGAGGAAGACCAGUGGCGAAAGCGGCGAGCUGGAUCACUACUGACGCUGAGGAACGAAAGCUAGGGGAGCAAACAGG